Molecule: ribosomal RNA, 468 nt
Filed under: uncultured bacterium
Lineage: Bacteria
Description: partial 16S ribosomal RNA
Rfam family: Bacterial small subunit ribosomal RNA
Source: RNAcentral
GACGAACGCUGGCGGCGUGCUUAACACAUGCAAGUCGAACGGAAAAGCCCUGCUUUUGUGGGGUGCUCGAGUGGCGAACGGGAGAGUAACACGAGAGUAACCUACCCUUGACUCUGGUAUAACUUCAGGGCACUGGAGCUAAUCCCGGAUAGGAGCUCCUGCUUCAUGGUGGGGGUUGGAAUGUUUCGGCGGUUGGGGAUGGACUCGCGGCUCAUCAGCUUGUUGGUGGGGUAGUGGCUUACCAAGGCUUUGACGGGUAGCCGGCCUGAGCGGGUGACAGGCCAGGUUGAGACUGAGAUGCGGCCCAGCCGUCUAGGGGAGGCAGCAGUGGGGAAUAGUGUAAAGUGGGGGGGAGGCGUAAGCGACAACGCCGCGUGCGGGAUGACGGCCUUCGGGUUGUAAACCGCGUUCGCCUGGUACGAGGCGUGAGUGACGGUAAUGGGUAAAGAAGCACCGGCUAACUACGUG